This 427-nucleotide long non-coding RNA is filed under the name Salvia miltiorrhiza (redroot sage). Its description in RNAcentral is "long non-coding RNA (SMIL_LNC000270)". The record is from RNAcentral. Lineage: Eukaryota; Viridiplantae; Streptophyta; Magnoliopsida; Lamiales; Lamiaceae.
CAGCCCCAACGGUGACGGUGCCAAAUAGCAUUGGCCUCGCCAACUUCACAGGCAGCAGCAGCCAACCUCGCCGGAGCCAUUCACGAAUGUGCGAGCUCUGAUUUUGAGCUGAAUCCCAGAACGAAGGAAAGGAGCCCGGUAUAAGGCGUCGAUCGAGAGAAACUAGGGCUCCAUCCGUGAGCAGAGGAAGGACUUUAGCGGUGUUGCGAUUUCCGACCUAGGGAGAUGCGGCGUCGUCAUGCCAGGGCGGCGACCAACGAUUUCAGACAGAGAAGCUAGGGCUCGACUUCUUCCCUUCAAUUGCGCGCUUCCAGUGAGGGAUUAGAGAGGGAAACCGAGACGAAGAGAAAAAAAGGAAAAGGACGGCGAUCCUCGGAGCACCAGCAACGAUGGGCGGGCUCUAGGUCGCGCAGCUCGCCGGUCUCCC